Molecule: long non-coding RNA, 4746 nt
Organism: Oncorhynchus kisutch (coho salmon)
Lineage: Eukaryota; Metazoa; Chordata; Actinopteri; Salmoniformes; Salmonidae
Source: Ensembl
CAGAGCUGGAGUGUAUGGGUGAAUAAACUAGUCAGGGUGCUGUGUGUCAGUCUGUUGGUUAAUAGAGGUCUAGGUGAUAAGGGGAUUAAACUAGUCAGGGUGCUGUGUAUCAGUCUGUUGGCUAAUAGAGGUCUAGGUGAUAAGGUGAAUAAACUAGUCAGGGUGCUGUGUGUCAGUCUGUUGGCUAAUAGAGGUCUAGGUGAUAAGGGGAUUAAACUAGUCAGGGUGCUGUGUGUCAGUCUGUUGGCUAAUAGAGGUCUAGGUGAUAAGGUGAAUAAACUAGUCAGGGUGCUGUGUGUCAGUCUGUUGGCCAAUAGAGGUCUAGGUGAUAAGGUGAAUAAACUAGUCAGGGUGCUGUGUGUCAGUCUGUUGGUUAACAGAGGUCUAGGUGAUGAAGCUAUAAUCACUAAGGGGUCUAGGUGAUGAUAGAGGUCUAGGUGAUGAAGCUAUAAUCACUAAGGGGUCUAGGCGAUGAAGCUAUAAUCACUAAGGGGUCUAGGUGAUGAAGCUAUAAUCACUAAGGGGUCUAGGUGAUGAUAGAGGUCUAGGUGAUGAUAGAGGUCUAGGUGAUGAAGCUAUAAUCACUAAGGGGUUUAGGCGAUGAAGCUAUAAUCACUAAGGGGUCUAGGUGAUGAAGCUAUAAUCACUAAGAGGUCUAGGUGAUGAAGCUAUAAUCACUAAGGGGUCUAGGUGAUGAAGCUAUAAUCACUAAGGGGUCUAGGUGAUGAAGCUAUAAUCACUAAGGAGUCGAGAUGAUGAAGCUAUAAUCACUAAGGGGUCUAGGUGAUGAAGCUAUAAUCACUAAGGGGUCUAGGUGAUGAAGCUAUAAUCACUAAGGGGUCUAGAUGAUGAAGCUAUAAUCACUAAGGGGUCUAGGUGAUGAAGUUAUAAUCACUAAGGGGUCUAGGUGAUGAUAGAGGUCUAGGUGAUGAAGCUAUAAUCACUAAGGGGUCUAGGUGAUGAAGCUAUAAUCACUAAGGGGUCUAGAUGAUGAAGCUAUAAUCACUAAGGGGUCUAGUUGAUGAUAGAGGUCUAGAUGAUGAAGCUAUAAUCACUAAGGGGUCUAGGUGAUGAAGUUAUAAUCACUAAGGGGUCUAGAUGAUGAAGCUAUAAUCACUAAGGGGUCUAGGUGAUGAUAGAGGUCUAGGUGAUGAAGCUAUAAUCACUAAGGGGUCUAGGUGAUGAAGCUAUAAUCGCUAAGGGGUCUAGGUGAUGAAGCUAUAAUCAGUAAGGGGUCUAGGUGAUGAUAGAGGUCUAGGUGAUAAAGCUAUAAUCACUAAGGGGUCUAGGUGAUGAAGCUAUAAUCACUAAGGGGUCUAGGUGAUGAUAGAGGUCUAGGUGAUGAAGCUAUAAUCACUAAGGAGUCUAGGUGAUGAAGCUAUAAUCACUAAGGGGUCUAGGUGAUGAUGGAGGUCUAGGUGAUGAAGCUAUAAUCACUAAGGGGUCUAGGCGAUGAAGCUAUAAUCACUAAGGGGUCUAGGUGAUGAAGCUAUAAUCACUAAGGGGUCUAGGUGAUGAAGCUAUAAUCACUAAGGGGUCUAGGUGAUGAAGCUAUAAUCACUAAGGGGUCUAGGUGAUGAAGCUAUAAUCACUAAGGGGUCUAGGUGAUGAAGCUAUAAUCACUAAGGGGUCUAGGUGAUGAUAGAGGUCUAGGUGAUGAUAGAGGUCUAGGUGAUGAAGCUAUAAUCACUAAGGAGUCUAGGUGAUGAAGCUAUAAUCACUAAGGGGUCUAGGUGAUGAUGGAGGUCUAGGUGAUGAAGCUAUAAUCACUAAGAGGUCUAGGUGAUGAAGCUAUAAUCACUAAGGGUCUAGGUGAUGAAGCUAUAAUCACUAAGAGGUCUAGGUGAUGAAGCUAUAAUCACUAAGGGGUCUAGGUGAUGAAGCUAUAAUCACUAAGGGGUCUAGGUGAUGAAGCUAUAAUCACUAAGGGGUCUAGGUGAUGAAGCUAUAAUCACUAAGGGGUCUAGGUGAUGAAGCUAUAAUCACUAAAGGGUCUAGGUGAUGAAGCUAUAAUCACUAAGGGGUCUGGAUGAUGAAGCUAUAAUCACUAAGGGGUCUAGGUGAUGAUAGAGGUCUAGGUGAUGAAGCUAUAAUCACUAAGGGGUCUAGGUGAUGAAGCUAUAAUCACUAAGGGGUCUAGGUGAUGAUAGAGGUCUAGGUGAUGAAGCUAUAAUCACUAAGGAGUCUAGGUGAUGAAGCUAUAAUCACUAAGGGGUCUAGGUGAUGAUGGAGGUCUAGGUGAUGAAGCUAUAAUCACUAAGGGGUCUAGGCGAUGAAGCUAUAAUCACUAAGGGGUCUAGGUGAUGAAGCUAUAAUCACUAAGGGGUCUAGGUGAUGAAGCUAUAAUCACUAAGGGGUCUAGGUGAUGAAGCUAUAAUCACUAAGGGGUCUAGGUGAUGAAGCUAUAAUCACUAAGGGGUCUAGGUGAUGAAGCUAUAAUCACUAAGGGGUCUAGGUGAUGAAGCUAUAAUCACUAAGGGGUCUAGGUGAUGAUAGAGGUCUAGGUGAUGAUAGAGGUCUAGGUGAUGAAGCUAUAAUCACUAAGGAGUCUAGGUGAUAAAGCUAUAAUCACUAAGGGGUCUAGGUGAUGAUGGAGGUCUAGGUGAUGAAGCUAUAAUCACUAAGGGGUCUAGGCGAUGAAGCUAUAAUCACUAAGGGGCCUAGGUGAUGAAGCUAUAAUCACUAAGGGGUCUAGGUGAUGAUAGAGGUCUAGGUGAUGAAGCUAUAAUCACUAGAGGUCUAGGUGAUGAAGCUAUAAUCACUAAGGGGUCUAGGUGAUGAAGCUAUAAUCACUAAGAGGUCUAGGUGAUGAAGCUAUAAUCACUAAGGGGUCUAGGUGAUGAAGCUAUAAUCACUAAGGGGUCUAGGUGAUGAAGCUAUAAUCACUAAGGGGUCUAGGUGAUGAAGCUAUAAUCACUAAGGGGUCUAGGUGAUGAAGCUAUAAUCACUAAAGGGUCUAGGUGAUGAAGCUAUAAUCACUAAGGGGUCUGGAUGAUGAAGCUAUAAUCACUAAGGGGUCUAGGUGAUGAUAGAGGUCUAGGUGAUGAAGCUAUAAUCACUAAGGGGUCUAGAUGAUGAAGCUAUAAUCACUAAGGGGUCUAGGUGAUGAAGCUAUAAUCACUAAGGGGUCUAGGUGAUGAAGCUAUAAUCACUAAGGGGUCUAGGUGAUGAUAGAGGUCUAGGUGAUGAAGCUAUAAUCACUAAGGGGUCUAGGUGAUGAAGCUAUAAUCACUAAGGGGUCUAGGUGAUGAAGUUAUAAUCACUAAGGGGUCUAGGUGAUGAUAGAGGUCUAGGUGAUGAAGCUAUAAUCACUAAGGGGUCUAGGUGAUGAUAGAGGUCUAGUUGAUGAAGCUAUAAUCACUAAGAGGUCUAGGUGAUGAAGCUAUAAUCACUAAGAGGUCUAGGUGAUGAAGCUAUAAUCACUAAGGGGUCUAGGUGAUGAUAGAGGUCUAGUUGAUGAAGCUAUAAUCACUAAGGGGUCUAGGUGAUGAAGCUAUAAUCACUAAGGGGUCUAGGUGAUGAUAGAGGUCUAGUUGAUGAAGCUAUAAUCACUAAGAGAUCUAGGUGAUGAAGCUAUAAUCACUAAGGGGUCUAGGUGAUGAAGCUAUAAUCGCUAAGGGGUCUAGGUGAUGAAGCUAUAAUCAGUAAGGGGUCUAGGUGAUGAUAGAGGUCUAGGUGAUGAAGCUAUAAUCACUAAGGGGUCUAGGUGAUGAAGCUAUAAUCACUAAGGGGUCUAGGUGAUGAAGCUAUAAUCACUAAGGGGUCUAGGUGAUGAAGCAAUAAUCACUAAGGGGUCUAAGUGAUGAAGCUAUAAUCACUAAGGGGUCUAGGUGAUGAUAGAGGUAUAGGUGAUGAAGCUAUAAUCACUAAGGGGUCUAGGUGAUGAAGUUAUAAUCACUAAGGGGUCUAGGUGAUGAAGCUAUAAUCACUAAGAGGUCUAGGUGAUGAAGUUAUAAUCACUAAGAGGUCUAGGUGAUGAAGCUAUAAUCACUAAGAGGUCUAGGUGAUGAAGCUAUAAUCACUAAGGGUCUAGAUGAUGAAGCUAUAAUCACUAAGGGGUCAGGUGAUGAUAGAGGUCUAGGUGAUGAAGCUAUAAUCACUAAGGGGUCUAGGCGAUGAAGCUAUAAUCACUAAGGGGUCUAGGUGAUGAAGCUAUAAUCACUAAGGGGUCUAGGUGAUGAUAGAGGUCUAGGUGAUGAUAGAGGUCUAGGUGAUGAAGCUAUAAUCACUAAGGGGUUUAGGCGAUGAAGCUAUAAUCACUAAGGGGUCUAGGUGAUGAAGCUAUAAUCACUAAGAGGUCUAGGUGAUGAAGCUAUAAUCACUAAGGGGUCUAGGUGAUGAAGCUAUAAUCACUAAGGGGUCUAGGUGAUGAAGCUAUAAUCACUAAGGGGUCUAGAUGAUGAAGCUAUAAUCACUAAGGGGUCUAGAUGAUGAAGCUAUAAUCACUAAGGGGUCUAGGUGAUGAUAGAGGUCUAGGUGAUGAAAGCUAUAAUCACUAAGGGGUCUAGGUGAUGAAGUUAUAAUCACUAAGGGGUCUAGGUGAUGAUAGAGGUCUAGGUGAUGAAGCUAUAAUCACUAAGGGGUCUAGGUGAUGAUAGAGGUCUAGUUGAUGAAGCUAUAAUCACUAAGAGGUCUAGUUGAUGAAGCUAUAAUCACUAAGGGGGUCUAGAUGAUGAAGCUAUAAUCACUAAGGGGUCUAGGUGAUGAUAGAGGUCUAGGUGGUGAAGCUAUAAUCACUAAGGGGUC